Molecule: long non-coding RNA, 1471 nt
Organism: Lutra lutra (Eurasian river otter)
Lineage: Eukaryota; Metazoa; Chordata; Mammalia; Carnivora; Mustelidae
Exons: 3
Source: RefSeq, a predicted model, not a curated record
AAGCAGACACCUAACAGGCUGAGCCACCCAGGAGUCCCCACACUGUGGUCUUGAAAUGCAAUUUCUUACAAAAAUAAACCAGGGCUUUUUGGAGAAAUGGUCGAUUCCGGGUCUGCAGCAGGAAAUAGACAAGAUGAGCCCAGAACACCCAGGCCCCCCAGAGAGCAAGAAAGCGGCCGCAGACCAGGGUCAUGUCGAAAGGUCUCCGGGUCCAGCUUGCAGACGUGUCCACUGGCCAGAGAUGGCCAAGUUCAGCUGGAAAAAGAUAGUACUUGAAAUGAUGGGGACUUUUAGCUACAUCCACAUCCAUGUGUCCAUGGUGAGUAAACAAAGAUCCUGACCGGUCACGUGUGUGGGGUGAGAGCAGGUCGGUCCGUUACCCCUACACUGACAAUGAAAAAGAAAGUCUCCAGUAUUUCCGAAGGGCGCAGGUGGACCAUCUUGUCCAGCAGCGGUAACUCGAGAUGACACCGGGAGACAAAGGGAAGCCAUUUCCGGAGAGGGUGGAGUUUGCUUCCGUUCAGGUACCGCCUAAAUGCACAACCGGCCAAAACUAUGGGAAGGUGUUGGGAGUGAGCAUCCCAUCCUACAGAAGAGGAAACUGAGGCACAGACAGGGUAAGGAGAGCCUGGUGCAGAGCUGGUAAGUGGCAGAAGCCAUGUCCAGACCCACGUCCCUCCCCUGGUUGAGAACCACCUAUUUCUGCCAAGUGCACUUAGGAUAAACUCAGCCUCCCAGCCCCAACAAGGAAGACCUUGCCUCAUCUGGCCCUGCCCUGUUUCUGCCUCCUCUCCUGUCCCAUUCUUCCCACUCAGGGAGCUCUCCAGCCACACUGGACAUGACACACGGGCCUGUCGGGGGCUCUGCCUCAGCGGUGUCUCCUCCCACGGUCCACUCCCUGGACCGUUGCUAGUCUGCCCCUUUCGUCAUUAGGCUCUGUCUCCUGUGGUUCCUUCUCCCCGCAUCCUGGCCUCUAAUGCAGACUGAAAUGAUUCCACUGGUAUACUGGUUUUAUGCUUGGCCUCCACCUGGUGGAGCACAGGGUCUGAGAGAGGAGGCUGUGCCUUUCUUGUGGGUGCUGGCUCCAUAAGCCCCUGUCGGGACCUGGCAGAGAGGGGGCUUGGCGGACAUAGCCCGGGGGCCGGUGGUGAGUGAGUGAGUGUCCGCCUCCACGCCAGCUUCUCCAGCACUCCGUCGCCCUGAACGGUGCCAGCUCGCCUCCACUCACCUGUGCCCUCGCCUUCAGACAGAGUGGAGGUGGAGACACCAAGGCCUUGAGCUGCCCAGGGUGGCGUAGCUGGCUGGUGGUGCCAGGAUCAACACAAUGCCCUCGGGGCUAUCCACGUCCACCUCCCCGAUGAGAAAAGCAGUCCCUGGAUGCGAGGGACUGGCCUGGGGUUCCCUGGCUCCUGAGUGCAAAGCCGGGGCUAGAACCUUGUCCCUUCCAGGGUUCCUGGGCCCUCCGAGGGCU